GCGAAAGUGGCGGAAUUGGUAGACGCGCUGGACUUAGAAUCCAGUGAAAGCAAUUUCAUAGGGGUUCGAGUCCCCUCUUUCGCA
This 84-nucleotide transfer RNA is filed under the name Candidatus Cloacimonadota bacterium. Its description in RNAcentral is "tRNA-Leu". It matches the Rfam family "tRNA". Rfam says of the family: Transfer RNA (tRNA) molecules are approximately 80 nucleotides in length. Their secondary structure includes four short double-helical elements and three loops (D, anti-codon, and T loops). The record is from RNAcentral. RNAcentral also lists the same sequence under 1 other name. Lineage: Bacteria; Pseudomonadati; Candidatus Cloacimonadota.